AGGUUGGGGCGCUGCCAGCACGGCAGGAGGUCGGGGCCAGACAGCCAAUUCGAGGACAAGGAUGGCUCUGCAGAGCCUCUUCGAGCCCCCCCAAUCCCCCAGUGCCCCGUCCAGAGUCCAUUGCGGCAGGCCUGGAGGGUGCCAGCGCAAGGGGCGCCCCUCUUCAGGGAACGAAAUGUGUGCUAUGCCAGCCCCCCUCGCUGUCCUUAAGCUGCGCCUGCCACCAUGCUAUUUGUGGCAACGACAGAGCGUGCGCUAGGAGGACCUAGCCCAGGAAGGAAACUUCAAACACGCAUCCCAAUUACGCAGGGGAGCUGGAACCCAGGCCCUACUUGGCCCUUUCACAAGCUUCUCUUAAACUCACGCUUGCUAAAUAACCCUGUAACUGUGGCGAACUUUGCCCCACCCUCCAGACUCCCAUAUAACCUUCCCACUUGCCCACCAGCAAGCCCAACUUUUAUUGCUGGCAGUGACUUUCCUGCUAGCAGCCUCCAGAGUUUGCAGGAAUCCCUCUGAUUGUGGUAAGUGCCAGGGAACUAGAAGCCAGGGAGGCUGACCAGAGGCUGCCCCUCUGAGCUUAUGGGCUCACCUCAUGACAUAGCCCAGGCCCCAGGCCUGGUCCCUGUAGAGCCCGGGGGUUACAUCAGGCCUCCUUCCCAGGUGGUCAGCCGUGAACCCGAUUCAAGGUCUGGAAAGAUCUGGCAGAAAUUGUUCUGAAUGAGGAGCCAGGCUGUAGACAGAGCAGUUGUGUGUGCUCAGCAGACACAGAAAAUGACAUUCUUGGGUUCUUGAUGCUCCCAAGGUUUUAGGGAGAGAAAAUUUGUUAACUAUGUGUCAGGAGAAGUCACUUUGGAACAAAUUAUCUCGGCCAUGGAUUGAAGGCAGAAGGAAGCUCAGGAUUUUCCUCAGGGAGAAUUUAGCAAGAAAUGGUGCUGGGUUGGCUGGCCCAGGGGACUCUGAAUCUCUCUUGGGAAACUAUUUCAGAAGAGAGAGGUAAAGGACUUUGUUGUACCCCCGGCAUGGGAGAAACUGUCACGGAGGGCACCAGAGCCUGCUCCGGAAACCUCUCCAUCCCUCUUUCCCUCACUGUGAAGGCAUAGGAGCACACAUUGGAGCAAUGACCCCGUGCAGGGAGCACACACCUGGAGCUGCUGGCCCAGUGUUAUCUGCCAAGUGCCAGGGGAGUCUGAUUUCAAUGUUCUGAAGGAUUCCAACCCUAAGGAGGCCUCACUCUGCACGGAGAUGACGGGCAGGGGCCAGCCAGGUGGGGGAUGGCGACAUAAGGCAGAUGUGGGCCCUCAAGCGUGUGGAACAGAGCCUCCUCUUUCCCCGUGGAUUCUCUCUCUGCAGUUUCACUUACCUGUGGUCAGCUGCAGCCUGAAACUAUUAAAUGGAAAACUCCAGAAUAAACAAUUCACAUAUUUUACAUAACUUUUGUAACAGUAUUCAGAAGUAAUAUAGAGUAUUACAGAAACUCUUGGAGGCUGAGGCAGGAGGGUGGCGAGUGUGGGGUGUCAUACUGAGGUUUCAGGCACCCACUGGGGGUCUUGGGAUGGUGGAUCCCCACAGAGAAUGGGGACGGCUGUGUAUGCAAAUAUAUAUUCACAUCACUGCCUCUGCCCAGUAAGCCCCGUGAUAUUAGUCAGCAGAGGCUCGGAUUUGGACCCUAACAGAACUGGAUGAGUCCUUGCUCUAGCUUGCAGUCACUUUACAAACCACAGCCAUUUGACUUGACUCUGAGCUGACCCUGCUUGUCUACCAAGCAGGGCAGCAAUGCCAGCCUCAAGGGUCCUGAUGGUGGGUGAGGAGGGCACUCAUGGAAAAGGAAGGGCCAGGGGCUGAGAGGCAGGUCUUGUUCCUGACACGGUGACCACCAGUCUGACGGUUGUACCCAGGUCACCACCUCCAGGAAGGCCCCUUGGCACCAUUCCACUGCUGCAUGGGACCCCCAGUUCCUGAGCCCCAUGUGUCUCUUGUCUAGCUCAGACCACCUUGUGAUGUUCAUUUCCCUGUCCUGUGUCACCACCCGAGAUGCUGACCCAGAAUCAUCACUCCUGAAGACAGGCCGGUGCUCCCUCACGUGACCCUCUGUCCCUGGGCCGUCUGCCCUCACAGAAGGCCUCUGCCAGCUCCCUGGGCACUUUGAACUUGAGCACGAAGCAGCUAGGUGCGUGCAGGGCUGAGUGGGAGCGGGUGUGUGGGUGUGUGUGUGUGCUAGUGUGCCACCAGGUCUUGGUGCUCACUAAAGGGAGGAACUGGACCACAGUCCCGAGCCCCUGGAAGGGACAGGGCAUGUUUGACAAAGAUUUCCUAGUCUGGCAAAGUGGGGGAAAAAAUGCCAUAGUGGAGAGUAAUGUAGAAAGCUCCAUCUAGGUGAUUUAAAGAAAUCCUGCCAGCCAGGGCAGGGGUGACAGCCUGUGAUCCCAGCGCUUUGGGAAGCCGAGGCAGGAGGAUCACAAGUUUGAGCCCAACUUGGGCAAGGUAGUAGCCUCGCAAAACCCUGUCUCAAAAUUAAAAAAGGCAGGGAUGUAGCCCAGUGCUGAAGGCCUCAGGUUCAAGCCCCAGUACUGCAACAAAAAGAAAGCAAGAAAAAAGAACAAACUACCCAUUUCUCCCUGAGAUGAGGCCUUCAUAUUUUUUUACUAUUGAAACACCUCUUCUUGGCGGAAGUUUCUUAAAUGAAGUGGCAGUAAAAGCUGAUAGGGAUUGGCUUGUUUCAAGUGGCCCCGCCAAGACAUUGGCAACCCGGAGCCAGUCUGCAAAGCUGUUCUUUUCCUUGUCAUAUUGGUCUGAAAGCCCAAGGCCCCCUUGGUGCCUGGUGCCCACCCUGCCCAGGUGAGCCUGUCGGCUGGCAGACACUGCACUGGGAAUGU
Long non-coding RNA from Heterocephalus glaber (naked mole-rat), 2873 nucleotides. Lineage: Eukaryota; Metazoa; Chordata; Mammalia; Rodentia; Bathyergidae. The record is from Ensembl.